This 253-nucleotide ribosomal RNA is filed under the name uncultured bacterium. RNAcentral describes it as "partial 16S ribosomal RNA". It matches the Rfam family "Bacterial small subunit ribosomal RNA", at positions 524 to 776 of the family's 1533-position model. The record is from RNAcentral.
UACGUAGGCAGCAAGCGUUGUUCGGAGUUACUGGGCGUAAAGAGUGCGUAGGUGGUGCCCUAAGUCUGUUGUGAAAUCUCCCGGCUUAACUGGGAGGGUGCGGUGGAAACUGGGGUGCUUGAGUGUGGGAGAGGUAAGCGGAAUUCCUGGUGUAGCGGUGAAAUGCGUAGAUAUCAGGAGGAACACCGGUGGUGUAGACGGCCUACUGGACCACGACUGACACUGAGGCACGAAAGCCAGGGGAGCAAACGGG